RNAcentral lists this ribosomal RNA (142 nucleotides) under Iguana sp. RNAcentral describes it as "partial small subunit ribosomal RNA". Lineage: Eukaryota; Metazoa; Chordata; Lepidosauria; Squamata; Iguanidae. The record is from RNAcentral.
UGAUUAGAUACCCCACUAUGCUUAGACGUUAACAUGACACCCUUCCCACAUCGGUGCCCGCCAGAGAAUUACUAGCGAAAAGCUUAAAACUCAAAGGACUUGGCGGUGCUCCAUCCCGACCUAGAGGAGCCUGUUCUAGUAC